Non-coding RNA from Arachis ipaensis, 302 nucleotides. The record is from RefSeq and is a predicted model, not a curated record. NCBI's taxonomy places the organism in Eukaryota, Viridiplantae, Streptophyta, Magnoliopsida, Fabales, Fabaceae.
GUUCGGAGACUGUUACUGUUUCGGUUCAGCCGUUCCUCCUUCGGUUCGAGUUGUUAAGAUUGUGGAGAAAUCAAGUGGAGCCGAGUUGUUGGUUGCUGUCAUUUCGAGUUGAGGCGGAAAGGACUCUGUGAGACGUUUGGGUUAUGGAUUUACGUUUUGAGGAUAUGGGCGCAGAAGUCACGAAGAGUUUAUUUAGUUGUCGUUGACAUGCUCUGUAUUGAUUUAGAUUAUUAUUUAUUACUGUUUCCUCGCCUUUAUCUUUACGUAUUCUGUAAGAGGGAUAGAGAUGGUAUUGGCUAAUG